RNAcentral lists this transfer RNA (74 nucleotides) under Candidatus Falkowbacteria bacterium CG10_big_fil_rev_8_21_14_0_10_43_10. RNAcentral describes it as "tRNA-Gln". It matches the Rfam family "tRNA". From Rfam's summary of the family: Transfer RNA (tRNA) molecules are approximately 80 nucleotides in length. Lineage: Bacteria; Candidatus Falkowiibacteriota. The record is from RNAcentral.
UCGGGGAUCGUCUAAUGGUAGGACACCUGGUUUUGGUCCAGGUAAUCGGGGUUCAAAUCCCUGUCCCCGAGCAA